RNAcentral lists this ribosomal RNA (396 nucleotides) under uncultured bacterium. Its description in RNAcentral is "bacterial SSU rRNA". It matches the Rfam family "Bacterial small subunit ribosomal RNA", at positions 28 to 428 of the family's 1533-position model. The record is from RNAcentral.
GACGAACGCUGGCGGCGUGCUUAACACAUGCAAGUCGAACGGUAAGGCCCUUCGGGGUACACGAGUGGCGAACGGGUGGAGUAACACGUGGGUGAUCUGCCCUGCACUUCGGGAUAAGCCUGGGAAACUGGGUCUAAUACCGGAUAGGACCAUGGACUUCACGGUUUGUGGUGGAAAGCUUUUGCGGUGUGGGAUGGGCCCGCGGCCUAUCAGCUUGUUGGUGGGGUAAUGGCCUACCAAGGCGACGACGGGUAGCCGGCCUGAGAGGGUGUCCGGCCACACUGGGACUGAGAUACGGCCCAGACUCCUACGGGAGGCAGCAGUGGGGAAUAUUGCACAAUGGGCGCAAGCCUGAUGCAGCGACGCCGCGUGAGGGGAUGACGGCCUCGGUUGUAA